UAGGUUAAUAUUUCGCUGCAUCAAUCAACAUUCAACCGAUCAACAUACGAUUCUGACCAGUUCGCGACGUCAUUCUACCGUCGGACGAUACUGCAUCAGGUCGACGCGCGCCUGCGUUUCCUUGCAAUGAAACCUUAGCAGUGAAAACGUAAACAAUGAACAUCGUGAAUUUUAUAUGCGUAUAAGGUGAGGUUUUUCCCUUUUGAUUACAUCAAAGCACAGCGUCCAGCUAACAUGUACAAGCUACCGUUUUGCGAAGAAGCCAAGUCGUGUGUUUCGUGUCAGAUCGACACGCGCAUCGACCUGUUAGUUAGCAGAUUAGCAGAGGAAACAUUGGAAACAAUCAGCUUCAUGGCCGGUACAAAAUCUCUUAAAUUACUAGCGUUUUGCGUUGGUACAUCCAGCGGUUCAACACAUACGCACGAUAAAUCUCGUAGCGUUAGAUAUUUAACAACGGAACCUUCCGGAAAUAUACAGUUCAACUGAAUGUUUUCGAAUGUGCUGCGUGCAACAACUUCAUAUUUUGAUAUCAUCUUAAAUAAGCAGUGCUACGCUUCUUGGAACAUAACUAAGCUAUUCUUCGUUCAAUUUUAGAUCAUCCACCGUGUAUGACAUCAACUCAUGUACGAUGUACCUGGAAUGUUUGACCUAUUAGACAAAACCACAUACGAUUCGAAGGAUACGAUAAGUAUAGUAAACGAACCUGACGAGGAGAUCUAUGGAUAAUUUCGUCAUCGAUGCGCGUUUGAAAUUUUGCGAAUGACCUAAUGUCUGGUACUUUCAACAGCACCACUUGAUGAUCCUCAACAUCAUCAUAGCGGAUUGACGGGCAGAUCAUAUGAUCGCGUAAUUCAACUGUAAGCAACCAAAAAAUCGGUAAAUAAAUUGUA
Anopheles coustani is the source of this 890-nucleotide long non-coding RNA. RefSeq lists it as uncharacterized. The record is from RefSeq and is a predicted model, not a curated record. The transcript has 6 exons. NCBI's taxonomy places the organism in Eukaryota, Metazoa, Arthropoda, Insecta, Diptera, Culicidae.